Molecule: transfer RNA, 77 nt
Filed under: Ectothiorhodospiraceae bacterium AqS1
Lineage: Bacteria; Pseudomonadati; Pseudomonadota; Gammaproteobacteria; Chromatiales; Ectothiorhodospiraceae
Description: tRNA-Pro
Rfam family: tRNA
About the family: Transfer RNA (tRNA) molecules are approximately 80 nucleotides in length. Their secondary structure includes four short double-helical elements and three loops (D, anti-codon, and T loops).
Source: RNAcentral
CGGGGCAUGGCGCAGCCUGGUAGCGCACCUGCUUUGGGAGCAGGGGGUCGGGGGUUCGAAUCCCUCUGCCCCGACCA